AUGCUAAUACAGAUCGAAAUCGCAGUUUUGAAGCACCCGCUUAACUCCUCAUUCCUCACUCCACUCCGCAGUACUCACUCUUCUCCAUUAACCUACUUGCGGUAAUUCUGGAGCUAAUACAUGCAAAUAAACCCUGACUUUUGAAAGGGUGCAAUUAUUAGAGCAAAUCAAUCACUUUCGGGUGCAGUUUGCUGACUCUGAAUAACGCAGCAUAUCGGCGGCUUGUUCGCCGAUAUUCCGAAAAAGUGUCUGCCCUAUCAACCUGAUGGUAGUCUAUUAGUCUACCAUGGUUAUUACGGGUAACGGAGAAUAAGGGUUCGACUCCGGAGAGGGAGCCUUAGAAACGGCUACCACAUCCAAGGAAGGCAGCA
This 371-nucleotide non-coding RNA is filed under the name Haemonchus placei. RNAcentral's name for it is "Eukaryotic small subunit ribosomal RNA". It matches the Rfam family "Eukaryotic small subunit ribosomal RNA", at positions 84 to 430 of the family's 1831-position model. Lineage: Eukaryota; Metazoa; Nematoda; Chromadorea; Rhabditida; Trichostrongylidae. The record is from Rfam by way of RNAcentral.